UCAGCCUCUUUGUUGAGGAAAAAAGGUGCAUCUUAUACUCCGAAAAAUAUGGUAAGUUCUGCAGUUUUCCAUGAAGCCAAAAAUCUCUUAAAAUAAUUUAUCAAAUUUAGGCACUAUCCAUCUUUCAUCAAGGUUGUUUUAUAGUAAAGCAAAGUAAAAUCAGUUCAGAUUAUCCGUAUCCGUCCCUGCCACCAUAUAGGAGUCACAUCUUUAAAUCAGUCCCAUCUUUUCUUGGUAUUAUAUGACUGUUGCUGCCAAAGGCCCGGAAUAUAUACUCCUUUACAGGAGCUCCUGGCAAGCGUGUCAUAUUCAUAGUUCCAGUCAGUUUUUCCUCUUUGAAUCUAAAUUGCUGCAUACCCCAGUAUCUUAUUCAAGUGUUCGCACCAUAUAUUUAAAAAUUGAGAUUAUAAUCUUACAUUUGCCUUUAGUAUGUUAUUUGAAAAAAAUACCUAUGUAAAUAAUAGAUAUUUCCUUAAGCAUUCUGUGUGCUGUCCCAUUCAUGUGGUGUAUAAUCAUGCUGCAGUAUAUAUUCUCAGGAAUUUAUGUAUAGUAACAGGAUGAAUGGUAUGCACAGAAUACUUAUGCAAAUAUACUAAACCCUCAAUUUAGGAAAGUGAUAGGGUAGAAAGUUUGUCUCAAAAAGAAUAUUUAUUAAAUCCAAAUGAAAGUUUAUGUGCGUAAUAUGUGAAUGGGACUUUACACAUUUUAUACAUGGACAAAGUAGCAAAUAAGAAUUUAAAUCUGCACAAAGGCUAACUGUACAGUAUAUAGAUUUGGUGCGUUGCAUCUGAACUCUACUAAACCAGGAUCUGUUAAAUGUACACUACGACCAGAAUAAUUAAACCCCAAAUUUAUUACUUUUAGAAAAGGGAAUCUUGUUAAUUCCAAAAUGUCAUAACUGCAGAUAUAUGCAAUUGACAUUUUUAUAGUUUUAUAAUUUAUGUAUGUUUAUAUAAGUUUACAUAGUUAUUAGAAUAACAUCAAUUAUGUAAUUACACCAAUGAUGUAAAUUGCUGUUUCAGAAACAGUGGACCUGGGGUCUACCAUUUAGUCUGUUAUAUCCAAGUUUGUUUAAUGAGUGUCCAGAAAAUCAGGAGUUUUAGUAUACAGAUGGUGGAUGUUAGCGAUUUAGACUUCUAACUGCUUCAGAUUUCAUUUUCCAUUAGUUUGAAUUGAUUGAAUCCGAUUGACUGUGGAUUAUCAUCCAGACUAUAGAACGUCUAGAAUUUGUUUGCAUAAAACACCUAAAUCAAGUCUUAAUAGCUAGAAAUGGAUUUUAUUGGUGAAAAAUAUUAUAACUAAUAUUCUCACUUAAUAGGCUCUGGCCAUAGAUCCCACAAAUACUAAAGCACUUUAUAGAAAGGCCCAAGCUUGGGAAGGAACGAAAGAGUACAAUAAGGCAUUGGUUGAGCUUCAUAAGGCUCAAGACCUAGCACCUCAGGAUAAAGCCAUCCAAAUGGAAGUACAGAAAGUCAAGCAGAAAAUUAAAAAUGAGAAGGAAAAAGAGAGGGCAGCAUAUGCAAAAAUGUUUGCAU
Thamnophis sirtalis is the source of this 1535-nucleotide non-coding RNA. The record is from RefSeq and is a predicted model, not a curated record. NCBI's taxonomy places the organism in Eukaryota, Metazoa, Chordata, Lepidosauria, Squamata, Natricidae.